CUCAGCUGUGAAAAAUCCACCUGCCCGAGCGGUGUAGUUAUGCUGAUCCAACCACUGGUGUAGACAGUGUUAGGGCGCCAGAAGGAUUCUUCCGUCGGUUUAGCUACUGCCUCUUGGGGGUGGAUUAACUACAGCACUGGGAGAAUUUGCCCUCCCGUUGCUGCAGCGAGUGUCUACACUGAAAGGCUACAGCUGCGCCUCCCGUAGUGUUUUACAUGUAGCCAAGCCCUGACCCUUCCAGACAGGUGUCCCAGCUUGAACUGACGCCAGCAGGAGAUGCAUAGCCGACUCGUGCCUCCCCGUACGGCAGGGACACAAUCUAAAGGGGAAGACCCGUGACCGCCUCACGCCUCCUCUGCCCAGUGACACAACCCCCCUCCCCCCAUCCUGCACAGACAGCCAACAGCGCACAGCUGGGAAAAGACGCAACGCUCCAUCAGUCGACUGCUCAUAAACACGCCGAGUAGCAAUGCUGAGGAGACUGGUUUGAAGCAGCCUGGCUGAGAGCGAAGGCGCACAAGAAGGCAGUGAAGUGAAAAGGUUAAGUGCCUCAGAAUCCCUCACAGACCAGGACCUCAGUUUCCCCGGCGCUGUAUAAGCACAGAACAAAAAGACAGACCCUGCCCAAAAGAGCUGAACAAUCUA
Molecule: long non-coding RNA, 645 nt
Organism: Mauremys reevesii (Reeves's turtle)
Lineage: Eukaryota; Metazoa; Chordata; Testudines; Geoemydidae
Exons: 3
Source: RefSeq, a predicted model, not a curated record